Molecule: ribosomal RNA, 253 nt
Filed under: uncultured bacterium
Lineage: Bacteria
Description: partial 16S ribosomal RNA
Rfam family: Bacterial small subunit ribosomal RNA
Source: RNAcentral
UACGUAGGUGGCGAGCGUUGUCCGGAAUUAUUGGGCGUAAAGCGCGCGUAGGCGGGAUAGUCAGUCUGUUGUAAAAGUGCGGGGCUCAACCCCGUAAGGUCAAUGGAAACUGCUAUUCUUGAGUGCAGGAGAGGAAAGCGGAAUUCCUAGUGUAGCGGUGAAAUGCGUAGAUAUUAGGAGGAACACCAGUGGCGAAGGCGGCUUUCUGGACUGUAACUGACACUGAGGCACGAAAGCGUGGGGAGCAAACAGG